AGGAGAGUUUGAUCCUGGCUCAGGACGAACGCUGGCGGCGUGCCUAACACAUGCAAGUCGAACGGAACUACUAGGAAGGAUCUCUUCGGAGAAACGGAAUUUUAGUUUAGUGGCGGACGGGUGAGUAACGCGUGAGUAACCUGCCUUUGAGAGGGGAAUAACGUUCUGAAAAGAACGCUAAUACCGCAUAACAUAUACUGAUCGCAUGGUCGGUAUAUCAAAGAUUUUAUCGCUCAAAGAUGGACUCGCGUCCGAUUAGCUUGUUGGCGGGGUAACGGCCCACCAAGGCGACGAUCGGUAGCCGGACUGAGAGGUUGAACGGCCACAUUGGGACUGAGACACGGCCCAGACUCCUACGGGAGGCAGCAGUGGGGGAUAUUGCGCAAUGGGGGCAACCCUGACGCAGCAACGCCGCGUGAAGGAUGAAGGUUUUCGGAUUGUAAACUUCUUUUGUCAGGGACGAAAUCUGACGGUACCUGACGAAUAAGCUCCGGCUAACUACGUGCCAGCAGCCGCGGUAAUACGUAGGGAGCAAGCGUUGUCCGGAUUUACUGGGCGUAAAGGGUGCGUAGGCGGCUAUGCAAGUCAGAUGUGAAAUCUAUGGGCUCAACCCAUAAACUGCAUUUGAAACUGCAUAGCUUGAGUGAAGUAGAGGCAGGCGGAAUUCCCCGUGUAGCGGUGAAAUGCGUAGAGAUGGGGAGGAACACCAGUGGCGAAGGCGGCCUGCUGGGCUUUAACUGACGCUGAGGCACGAAAGCGUGGGUAGCAAACAGGAUUAGAUACCCUGGUAGUCCCCU
RNAcentral lists this ribosomal RNA (797 nucleotides) under uncultured Bacillota bacterium. RNAcentral's name for it is "bacterial SSU rRNA". It matches the Rfam family "Bacterial small subunit ribosomal RNA", at positions 1 to 799 of the family's 1533-position model. Lineage: Bacteria; Bacillati; Bacillota. The record is from RNAcentral.